This 233-nucleotide unclassified non-coding RNA is filed under the name uncultured fungus. RNAcentral's name for it is "sequence contains ITS1, 5.8S rRNA gene". The stretch from base 185 to 233 matches the Rfam family "5.8S ribosomal RNA", at positions 1 to 49 of the family's 154-position model. Lineage: Eukaryota; Fungi. The record is from RNAcentral.
UCUCCGUAGGUGAACCUGCGGAGGGAUCAUUACUGAGUGAGGGUCUCCGGGCCCGACCUCCAACCCUUUUGUGAACCACCUCGUUGCUUCGGGGGCGACCCCGCCGUUUCGGCGGUGGCGCUCCCGGUGGCCAAUUAUUAAACUCUGCAUCUCUUGCGUCGGAGUCUUAAAGAAAUUUAAACAAAACUUUCAACAACGGAUCUCUUGGUUCUGGCAUCGAUGAAGAACGCAGC